CGACCAGUCGCGCAGCGGUCUAACGCGUCUCCUAUCAAGGAGACGAUCGCGGGUUCGAAUCCCGCCUGAUUGG
Molecule: transfer RNA, 73 nt
Filed under: Operophtera brumata (winter moth)
Lineage: Eukaryota; Metazoa; Arthropoda; Insecta; Lepidoptera; Geometridae
Rfam family: tRNA
About the family: Transfer RNA (tRNA) molecules are approximately 80 nucleotides in length. Their secondary structure includes four short double-helical elements and three loops (D, anti-codon, and T loops). Further hydrogen bonds mediate the characteristic L-shaped molecular structure. tRNAs have two regions of fundamental functional importance: the anti-codon, which is responsible for specific mRNA codon recognition, and the 3' end, to which the tRNAs corresponding amino acid is attached (by aminoacyl-tRNA synthetases). tRNAs cope with the degeneracy of the genetic code in two manners: having more than one tRNA (with a specific anti-codon) for a particular amino acid; and 'wobble' base-pairing, i.e. permitting non-standard base-pairing at the 3rd anti-codon position.
Source: Rfam by way of RNAcentral